UAUGCUCAGAGUCCCCAUCUGGUUUCAACCUGCCUCUUCCCCUCUGCCCCCCCCAUCUUCCCUGAAUUCCAGCCUCCAGGGUGGUACCCAUGUUCCGGGACCCACUUCUGAGUGCCAGCCGGAGCCCAUGCAAGGACCUCUCCUUGGGGCCCAUUGUGUCUCUCGGGGGAACUUGACACUGUCUGGAGACCACUUGGCUUGCUGCUGAGGUCUGAAGGAGCCCAAACAGACGGAGACAGUUGGCCGGACUGGCAAGGAGUGCUGCUGUGGGUGGCGCCCAGGGGUGUCGCUACAUCCUGCUGUGUCCAGGACAGCCCCACAACGAGGAAUUGUCAGCCCCAAAGGUCAGUCGUGCUGAGAUGGAGGAACCCCGCCCCAAAGGCUUACCCCCAUGGACAAGCAUCACAGCAAAUCUGGGAAGCUCCUUAGACAUGUAGACUCCUGGGCCCCACCCCAGACCAUGUACAUCAGACUCUGCGUUUGAGCAGCGCCCCCCAGAGGAGUUCUGUGUUCGUUUGAGACCCAGACUGCACAGUGAGGUAGCCAGGGCUUGCGUGGAUUACACAUGUGGAUAACAGUUGCCAUGAAGGCAACAGCUCCAGGAGUUCCCACUGUGACGCAGUGGGUUCAUGAUCCAGCUUGUCUCUGUGGAGGUGCCGGUUCGAUCCCCCACCCGGAUCAGGGGGUGAAGGUUGCUGCAGCUGUGGUGUAAGUUGCAGCUCUGGCUUGGUUUGGACUGGAUCCCUGGCUCAGGAACUUCCACGUGUUGCACUGAGGGAAAGAGGGAAGGAAGAGGGAGGGAGAAGGAAGGAAGGAGGCAUGAAAGCAAGCGCUACAGAGAAAAGCAAUUGAAAAACUAAAGCUUUACAGAUCACAUGUAUUAAAUAAAGUCUGCUUUGCAAAGACUGUGUAAUCUCCCAAUGCCUGUUAAACUGCUCGUGCUUCCAGACUCUGCCAUGCUUGACUGAAAUAAACAUUAUUCAUAAUUUUUAAAAAGAGAAUGAAUG
This 1007-nucleotide long non-coding RNA is filed under the name Sus scrofa (pig). RNAcentral describes it as "lncRNA (ENSSSCG00005015737.1)". The record is from RNAcentral. Lineage: Eukaryota; Metazoa; Chordata; Mammalia; Artiodactyla; Suidae.